RNAcentral lists this ribosomal RNA (705 nucleotides) under Schizopterinae sp. UCR ENT 00093183. Its description in RNAcentral is "SSU rRNA". It matches the Rfam family "Eukaryotic small subunit ribosomal RNA", at positions 635 to 1284 of the family's 1831-position model. The record is from RNAcentral. Lineage: Eukaryota; Metazoa; Arthropoda; Insecta; Hemiptera; Schizopteridae.
CGCCUGUCGGUGUAACUGACAUGUCAUGGAACGUCUUGUCGGUGGUAAUUAAAGCCCUAUUUUAUGUAAAAGGAGUUUUAUACUUCUAUUAUAUAUUAAUAGGUUACUUUAAUUACCUAUUAACUCCUACCGCGGUGCUCUUUACUGAGUGUCGAGGUCGGCCGACAAGUUUACUUUGAACAAAUUAGAGUGCUUAAAGCAGGCAAAAGCUCGCCUGAAUAGUGGUGCAUGGAAUAAUAGAAUAUGACCUUGGUUCUAUUUUGUUGGUUUUCUGAAUUCAAGGUAAUGAUCAAUAUGGACAAGCGGGGGCAUUUGUAUUGCGACGUUAGAGGUGAAAUUCUUGGAUCGUCGCAAGACAAACUAGAGCGAAAGCAUUUGCCAAGUAUGUCUUAAUUGAUCAAGAACGAAAGUUAGAGGUUCGAAGGCGAUCAGAUACCGCCCUAGUUCUAACCAUAAACGAUGUCAGCUAGAAAUCCGCCGAUGUUUUUUUCAUGACUCGACGGGCAGCUUCCGGGAAACCAAAGCUUUUGGGUUCCGGGGGAAGUAUGGUUGCAAAGCUGAAACUUAAAGGAAUUGACGGAAGGGCACCACAAGGAGUGGAGCAUGCGGCUUAAUUUGACUCAACACGGGAAACCUGACCAGGCCCAGACAUUGGAAGGAUUGACAGAUUGAUAGCUCUUUCUUGAUUCAGUGGGUAGUGGUGCA